CAGAGAGGGACAGAGACGGAGAAGUUUGACGGUCUGGAAAGCAGAGACCAGCAGGGCUGACUGCUUGGGAGCACGAGGGACAGCUCUCCACUGACCGAAGGAGGAGAAUGCUAUUUAUUUCAGCACCAAGUAUCCGGACAGCGCCUCUCGGGAGGUCCGAGAAGAGAACCGCGGUCUGUUUCAGCACCGGGGCUCAGGACAGUUCCCAGAGGGCUCCGUUUCGGCUCCAGAACCCUGGACAGCUCCCCCAGCUUGGAAUGCACUCCCUCCACCUCCACCCAGAGCUCCCCACAACUGACCCUGCUUUCUUCUGCAAGCUCCAUUUCAUCAAGGGAAACGAUCCUUAUUGCCUCACCAUUUCCCACAUGAAGUCUGUAUUGACAUUCUCAUAGACCUGGGAUAUUGUGUCUGCAGCACAUAGUCCAAUUAUUUUCAUGUUAUCUACUGACA
RNAcentral lists this long non-coding RNA (450 nucleotides) under Pongo abelii (Sumatran orangutan). RNAcentral describes it as "lincRNA". The record is from RNAcentral. Lineage: Eukaryota; Metazoa; Chordata; Mammalia; Primates; Hominidae.